RNAcentral lists this long non-coding RNA (703 nucleotides) under Homo sapiens (human). Its description in RNAcentral is "NHSL1 antisense RNA 1". The record is from RNAcentral. Lineage: Eukaryota; Metazoa; Chordata; Mammalia; Primates; Hominidae.
CAGGGUUGUUAUGAGGCUCAAAGGAACGGCUGCUGUGAAAAAACAUGCUUUGCAAUUUAUGAAGCACUGGAUAAACAUCAGGAACGGUAUAAAAGCAUGCUGCUUACUCAAGAAAUACUAGUUGAGUGCCUGUGUGUUGGGCACUGGCUAGAGAUAAGGGUCUCCUAUGGACAGAAGUGCGGGCAAGGAGCUUUGUUCCUCCCCGAUGUCACCCUCCCACAGCCCACUUGCUAGCAGGCAAGAGAGGGGUGGAGGCCGGCAGUAAGGCAUGUACUGAACUGGACCUCUGGUGGAAUGGGUCACCCACGCUGGGCUUGACUCUUACCAUCAGGGUCCUGCCAACCCUUCAGUGAGACUUUUUCCGAAGAAUCCCUUUUAAAAUGACCUCAAGCUGACCUUCCUGAUGCAGAUUCCACAUAUGGUAUCUGAGACUCACACAGUGUGGUUGGAAGAUAGCACAGUGACCUCCCAGGCACAGCCCUCUGCCAGCCCUCCACUGGCUGCCCUAGGAUGCUGGCCUUCCUCCGAUGGGAGUCGGGCCCAGUCUGCUGUGAGCCAGGAGAAGCCAGCAAGCUCCCUGCGAGGCCUGGAGGAGCCCUUCUCACUCAGCUUGGUGUUCGAUGCCAGUGCCCCCGCCCAUUGUGGGGUGAGGGUGGGACUCUCAGCACAGCCCUGUCCAAAUAAAUCCUCUAAAGCCCUCUUC